Molecule: ribosomal RNA, 253 nt
Filed under: uncultured bacterium
Lineage: Bacteria
Description: partial 16S ribosomal RNA
Rfam family: Bacterial small subunit ribosomal RNA
Source: RNAcentral
UACAGGGGGGGCAAGCGUUGUCCGGAAUUACUGGGUGUAAAGGGUCCGUAGGCGGAUCGGUAAGUCAGUGGUUAAAUCCUGCAGCUUAACUGUAGACUAUCCAUUGAUACUGCCGGUCUUGAGUGCGAGAGAGAUGAGUGGAAUUCCAAGUGUAGCGGUGAAAUGCGUAGAGAUUUGGAAGAACACCAGUUGCGAAGGCGGCUCAUUGGCUCGCUACUGACGCUGAGGGACGAAAGCAUGGGGAGCAAACAGG